GCGGUAAUACCAGCUCUUCGAGUGGUGGGGACGAUUAUUGGGCUUAAAGCGUUCGUAGCCGGCUUAACAAGUCUUCCGUUAAAUCCAACGAUCUAAUCGUUGGUCUGCGGGAGAUACUGUUGGGCUAGGAGGCGGGAGAAGCCGACGGUAUUCUCGGGGUAGGGGUGAAAUCCUGUAAUCCCGG
This 184-nucleotide ribosomal RNA is filed under the name uncultured archaeon. RNAcentral describes it as "partial 16S ribosomal RNA". It matches the Rfam family "Archaeal small subunit ribosomal RNA", at positions 467 to 651 of the family's 1478-position model. The record is from RNAcentral.